GAUGAACGCUGGCGGCAUGCUUUACACAUGCAAGUCGGACGGGAAGUGGUGUUUCCAGUGGCGGCCGGGUGAGUAACGCGUAAGAACCUGCCCUUGGGAGGGGAACAACAGCUGGAAACGGUUGCUAAUACCCCGUAGGCUGAGGAGCGAAAGGAGGAAUCCGCCCAAGGAGGGGCUCGCGUCUGAUUAGCUAGUUGGUGAGGUAAUAGCUUACCAAGGCCGUGAUCAGUAGCUGGUCCGAGAGGAUGAUCAGCCACACUGGGGCUGAGACAAGGCCCAGACUCCUACGGGAGGCAGCAGUGGGGAAUUUUCCGCAAUGGGCGAAAGCCUGACGGAGCAAUGCCGCGUGGAGGUAAAAGGCCUACGGGUCAUGAACUUCUUUUCCUGGAGAAGAAACAAUGACGGUAUCUGGGGAAUAAGCAUCGGCUAACUCUGUG
Molecule: ribosomal RNA, 437 nt
Filed under: uncultured bacterium
Lineage: Bacteria
Description: partial 16S ribosomal RNA
Rfam family: Bacterial small subunit ribosomal RNA
Source: RNAcentral